Molecule: long non-coding RNA, 1686 nt
Organism: Pyrus x bretschneideri (Chinese white pear)
Lineage: Eukaryota; Viridiplantae; Streptophyta; Magnoliopsida; Rosales; Rosaceae
Exons: 2
Source: RefSeq, a predicted model, not a curated record
UGGCUUAAACUACUAAAACAACUAUGAAUUAACAACAUAGAUGCACGAAAACAAGCUAAGUAAGUCGCCUAAAUAUGCUCCUAUCACUACACAUGAUUGUAUUCCAACUGGGUAUUUGGCCACAUUCAAAUAUGUGCGUUGUAGUACUUCGACUGAGAUCUCCUUAAUAAUCUUAUUGAUAAAUGUAACUUCAUACCUACCAGUUUAAAUAAAAAAACAUAUUUAGUCAAUCAAAUUUUUUGCUAUAUUUCUUUGUAAAAGAAAAUAAUAAUAAUAAUAAAAUGCUACUAAAUCCACCGUAUUGUUUUAUUUUAUAUUUUUGGUAAACCCAUGUUGUUUUAUUUUUCCACUCACAUUUUAAUGAAAAUGUUAGAUCCCUAAUUGUUUCUCUCCCUACCCUUCGUCCUCCGUUUCUCUCUCCCCCAUUUUUCUCUCUCUUCUGUUUCGUGUCUCUCCUCUGGCUUCUGCACCAACGACUUCCCUUCUCUCUCUUGGAAACCAGUCUCUAAUUAUUCGAAUCUCUCCCUCUCUCGACCACACUCUCUCUCUCUCUCUCUCUCUCUCUCUCUCUUCCCCAACCCAAAUCUUCUGUCACCUGCAAAUCCAAAUUGCAUAGCUGAAAUAACAAAAUCUCUCCUCACCCAAUUUCCCCUUUUACCCUCUUUGUCUAUUUCUGAUUUCCAUUUGCUUCCACUGUCAGUUUUGUACUCGGAAUUAAUUUCGAAUUAAUCAAUUUUCGAGCUAGGGUUCAUUUUUUAUUUGGAAAAAAAAAAGAUUGGUUGCUAAUUCAUUUAUAUAUUUGGGUUGAUUAAUUAAUGGAGUCAAGUUUUGAUCAGUGGGAGAAAGAUCCAUUAUUUCCGGCGGUGGAAUAAGUUCAAGAAUUCGCCGACAGAUAGCAUUUCUCAUGCUUCCAGCUCAUUUGGAUAAAAUCUUAGCUUUAGGAGAGCAAUUUAAGAGAGAGAGAGAGAGAGAGAGAGGGGCCAGGGGAAUCAUAAUCUUGGUUCGAUGCUGAGAAGCUUGCUGGUACGCUCUCCCUCUUAAACUGCUUCCCCUUUACUUGCAGAUUUGCCUUUUUUUUAUUUUUUUUAUUACUGUUUCUGGUAUUCUUACUUCCAUUUUUUCGAUUUAAUUCUUUUGCUUUGAACUAAAUUGGUUGAAUCGAUGAAGCAGAUCUCUUGCUCUCUACAACUCUCCAACAAAACCAAUGACUAUGUAGCUUUCAAGGUUGUAGAUUUUCACCAGAUAAGUUAAGUUUUUUGGACUUUUAGAGAUUUGCAAUCUUGAUUUUGGUGUAAAGUUAGUUCACGUAGGGACUGACGGUGAAAAUAGGACAUUUGAGGUGUGGUGUAUUAAAGUUAUUUUAGAGAUAAUAGUGGGUGGAAAAUAAGAUGUUAAUUUUUUAAAUUUUUUAUUGUGGAUGGAAUGAUAAUGUGUGAGAAAAUAGAAUAACGGGUGAGUUUAUCAGCACCUCAAAAAAAAAAAAAAAAAUGGCAGAGUAUUACACGAAAAAGGAGUGCCGGCAACAACAAAAGUCACUCCCUGAUUCGCUAGCUUUGGUGAAUGACAAGUCUAUAAUUAUAUAUGAAGAAGAUGGACACGUAGGUUUAACAUAAACGAGCCUUCAUGUACCUUGGUUGUUUUCCCUUGCUUCCAAAAAAAAUAAAUAAAUAAACGAGCCUUCAUGUA